RNAcentral lists this ribosomal RNA (474 nucleotides) under uncultured bacterium. RNAcentral describes it as "bacterial SSU rRNA". It matches the Rfam family "Bacterial small subunit ribosomal RNA", at positions 335 to 801 of the family's 1533-position model. The record is from RNAcentral.
ACUCCUACGGGAGGCAGCAGUAGGGAAUCUUCCACAAUGGGCGCAAGCCUGAUGGAGCAACACCGCGUGAGUGAAGAAGGGUUUCGGCUCGUAAAGCUCUGUUGUUAAAGAAGAACACGUAUGAGAGUAACUGUUCAUACGUUGACGGUAUUUAACCAGAAAGUCACGGCUAACUACGUGCCAGCAGCCGCGGUAAUACGUAGGUGGCAAGCGUUAUCCGGAUUUAUUGGGCGUAAAGAGAGUGCAGGCGGUUUUCUAAGUCUGAUGUGAAAGCCUUCGGCUUAACCGGAGAAGUGCAUCGGAAACUGGAUAACUUGAGUGCAGAAGAGGGUAGUGGAACUCCAUGUGUAGCGGUGGAAUGCGUAGAUAUAUGGAAGAACACCAGUGGCGAAGGCGGCUACCUGGUCUGCAACUGACGCUGAGACUCGGAAAGCAUGGGUAGCGAACAGGAUUAGAUACCCUGGUAGGAUAGCG